GACGAACGCUGGCGGCGUGCUUAACACAUGCAAGUCGAGCGGUAAGGCUCCUUCGGGAGUACACGAGCGGCGAACGGGUGAGUAACACGUGAGCAAUCUGCCCUUCUCAUCGGAAUAACCAUUGGAAACGAUGGCUAAUGCCGAAUAUGACCUCGGAUCACAUGUUCUGAGGUGGAAAGCUCCGGCGGAGAAGGAUGAGCUCGCGGCCUAUCAGCNGUUGGUGAGGUAAUAGCUCACCAAGGCGAUGACGGGUAGCCGGCCUGAGAGGGUGACCGGCCACAC
Molecule: ribosomal RNA, 282 nt
Filed under: uncultured bacterium
Lineage: Bacteria
Description: partial 16S ribosomal RNA
Rfam family: Bacterial small subunit ribosomal RNA
Source: RNAcentral